UCUCAAAGAUUAAGCCAUGCAUGUCUCAGUGCACGCCUUUAUACGGUGAAACCGCGAAUGGCUCAUUAAAUCAGCUAUGGUUUACUGGACCGUACCCGUUAAAUGGAUAACUGUAAUAACUCUAGAGCUAAUACAUGCAACUAUGCCCUGAACCGAAAGGCAAGGGGUGCACUUAUUAGAUCAGAAGCUAACCGGGCGUCGGUCGCAAGGCCGGUGUCUGUUGUCGUUCUGGUGACUCUGGAUAAUUGUUACAGAUCGCAGUCGGCCAUGAGUCGGCGACGGGUCCUCCAAAUGUCUGCCCUAUCAACUUUCGAUGGUAGGUGACCUGCCUACCAUGGUGAUAACGGGUAACGGGGAAUCAGGGUUCGAUUCCGGAGAGGGAGCCUGAGAAACGGCUACCACUUCCAAGGGAGGCAGCAGGCGCGCAAAUUACCCACUCCCAGCACGGGGAGGUGGUGACGAAAAAUACCGAUGCGGGACUCCUAGACGAGGCUCCGUAAUCGGAAUGAGUCGACUAUAAAUCCUUUAACGAGGAUCAAUUGGAGGGCAAGUCUGGUGCCAGCAGCCG
RNAcentral lists this ribosomal RNA (568 nucleotides) under Bothriocephalus sp. BOLD:ACC5919. RNAcentral's name for it is "SSU rRNA". It matches the Rfam family "Eukaryotic small subunit ribosomal RNA", at positions 35 to 576 of the family's 1831-position model. Lineage: Eukaryota; Metazoa; Platyhelminthes; Cestoda; Bothriocephalidea; Bothriocephalidae. The record is from RNAcentral.